Culex quinquefasciatus (southern house mosquito) is the source of this 605-nucleotide long non-coding RNA. RefSeq lists it as uncharacterized. NCBI's taxonomy places the organism in Eukaryota, Metazoa, Arthropoda, Insecta, Diptera, Culicidae. The transcript has 2 exons. The record is from RefSeq and is a predicted model, not a curated record.
GGCGAAUGUGAUUGCCGCCAUUUUGUUAAGUUGCCAUGUUCUUUCAUUUUCUUUUGUCGAAGGAGAAUGACGUAUUUUCUACGCCACCAACUCGAUAUACAAACAAGAUGGAUCUUCUGGCCAAAACCGCGGAAAUCGUCAAAAUCGAUAAUGACACAAAGGCCCAGGGACAAUCGCUUGGACGGAUCGGAGCUAUAAUUAAAAAGACAAAUGUUCCAGAUCGUUCCAUUACUGAAAGGAAAGGAAUAGGAUAAGGAAGGAUAUAAACAUUUAAAUGUAGGCAGUAUAAUUGAAGAAGAUUCCCGGAAGCUGGUAGAAAGAUAAUAACAAUUUAAAAAAAAAUCUCCAGAUGGUUCCAUUGCUAUUUUAGUGACUGUAGUUAGUUCAUAAAAUUUGAUCAUAUAUGGUAAGGAGGAAUGAUAGAAAAAAGGAUAAUGAAUAGGAAUGAUAUGAACAUUCAUAUAAAUCAAAUAAAGAAUAGAUAAUAUGUAUAAGCAGUUCAUUUAUAAAUGAUCCAGGAACUCGCAAAAAUCGCUUCUGCACCACUAAUUGCCUCCACUGCUGGCACUGAACCCGCAACCUUUGGAGUGUUAACAUUCACACAA